GGGACACUGCGCGGAACAUGGGGAGGGGCCGAGAGCUGAAGGUUAGUCUCCUGCUUUCUACCUAAAAAGAGCCGGAAGAUUGCAGUGAGAAAAGCACCUUUAACUCUACGGGAGGUUUGAAUCAAGGAUGAACAUAUUCCCUCCUUGCCCCAUUCUUUCCUUCUAAAACUCCUAGUUAUACCUUCCUAUGUCCAGGAAGAUGUGUGAAGAUAUUGAAGCCAUCCUAAUCUAAGUGAUCUUCAGGUUAAGAAAUGGUGAUACAAGAUGAUGAAUGUGGAAAUAUGUUUUAUAUGAUUGCACAUGUAUAAUCUAUAUCAGAUUG
Long non-coding RNA from Vombatus ursinus (common wombat), 322 nucleotides. RefSeq lists it as uncharacterized. The record is from RefSeq and is a predicted model, not a curated record. The transcript has 3 exons. Lineage: Eukaryota; Metazoa; Chordata; Mammalia; Diprotodontia; Vombatidae.